This 700-nucleotide ribosomal RNA is filed under the name uncultured Gammaproteobacteria bacterium. RNAcentral's name for it is "bacterial SSU rRNA". It matches the Rfam family "Bacterial small subunit ribosomal RNA", at positions 56 to 749 of the family's 1533-position model. Lineage: Bacteria; Pseudomonadati; Pseudomonadota; Gammaproteobacteria. The record is from RNAcentral.
UGCAAGUCGAUCGGUAACAGGUGUAGCAAUACAUGCUGACGAGAGGCGGACGGGUGAGGAACGCUUGGGAAUCUGCCUAUCAGCGGGGGACAACCCGGGGAAACCCGGGCUAAUACCGCAUACGCUCUACGGAGGAAAGCCGGGGACCGCAAGGCCUGGCACUGAUAGAUGAGCCCAAGUCGGAUUAGCUAGUUGGCGGGGUAACGGCCCACCAAGGCGACGAUCCGUAGCUGGUCUGAGAGGACGAUCAGCCACACCGGAACUGAGACACGGUCCGGACUCCUACGGGAGGCAGCAGUGGGGAAUAUUGGACAAUGGGCGAAAGCCUGAUCCAGCGACGCCGCGUGGGUGAAGAAGGCCUGCGGGUUGUAAAGCCCUUUCGGUAGGGACGAAAGCUCUUGCUCUAACAAAGCAGGAGGGUGACUUAACCUACAUAAGAAGCACCGGCUAACUCUGUGCCAGCAGCCGCGGUAAUACAGAGGGUGCGAGCGUUAAUCGGAAUUACUGGGCGUAAAGCGCACGUAGUCGGCUUGUCAAGUCGGGUGUGAAAUCCCCGGGCUCAACCUGGGAACUGCAUCCGAGACUGACUUGCUAGAGUAUGGGAGAGGGAAGCGGAAUUUCUGGUGUAGCAGUGAAAUGCGUAGAUAUCAGAAGGAACAUCAGUGGCGAAGGCGGCUUCCUGGACCAAUACUGACGAUCA